GCUGGGUGUGGUGGCACACGCCUGUAAUCCCAGCACCUUGGGAGGCCGAGAUAGGAGGAUUACAAGUUCAAAGCCAGCCUCAGCAACUUUGCAAGUCCCUAGUUAACUCAGAGAGACCCUGUGUCUA
RNAcentral lists this small RNA (127 nucleotides) under Marmota monax (woodchuck). Lineage: Eukaryota; Metazoa; Chordata; Mammalia; Rodentia; Sciuridae. The record is from RNAcentral.